This 918-nucleotide ribosomal RNA is filed under the name uncultured bacterium. RNAcentral's name for it is "bacterial SSU rRNA". It matches the Rfam family "Bacterial small subunit ribosomal RNA", at positions 8 to 916 of the family's 1533-position model. The record is from RNAcentral.
AGAGUUUGAUCCUGGCUCAGGAUGAACGCUAGCUACAGGCUUAACACAUGCAAGUCGAGGGGAAACGACAUUGAAAGCUUGCUUUCGAUGGGCGUCGACCGGCGCACGGGUGAGUAACGCGUAUCCAACCUGCCCAUCACUUGGGGAUAACCUUGCGAAAGUAAGACUAAUACCCAAUGACGUCUCUAGAAGACAUCUGAAAGAGAUUAAAGAUUUAUCGGUGAUGGAUGGGGAUGCGUCUGAUUAGCUUGUUGGCGGGGUAACGGCCCACCAAGGCUACGAUCAGUAGGGGUUCUGAGAGGAAGGUCCCCCACAUUGGAACUGAGACACGGUCCAAACUCCUACGGGAGGCAGCAGUGAGGAAUAUUGGUCAAUGGGCGAGAGCCUGAACCAGCCAAGUAGCGUGCAGGAUGACGGCCCUAUGGGUUGUAAACUGCUUUUAUAAGGGAAUAAAGUGAGCCUCGUGAGGCUUUUUGCAUGUACCUUAUGAAUAAGGACCGGCUAAUUCCGUGCCAGCAGCCGCGGUAAUACGGAAGGUCCGGGCGUUAUCCGGAUUUAUUGGGUUUAAAGGGAGCGUAGGCCGGAGAUUAAGCGUGUUGUGAAAUGUAGACGCUCAACGUCUGCACUGCAGCGCGAACUGGUUUCCUUGAGUACGCACAAAGUGGGCGGAAUUCGUGGUGUAGCGGUGAAAUGCUUAGAUAUCACGAAGAACUCCGAUUGCGAAGGCAGCUCACUGGAGCGCAACUGACGCUGAAGCUCGAAAGUGCGGGUAUCGAACAGGAUUAGAUACCCUGGUAGUCCGCACGGUAAACGAUGGAUGCCCGCUGUUGGUCUGAAUAGGUCAGCGGCCAAGCGAAAGCAUUAAGCAUCCCACCUGGGGAGUACGCCGGCAACGGUGAAACUCAAAGGAAUUGACGG